RNAcentral lists this small nucleolar RNA (50 nucleotides) under Pyrobaculum arsenaticum DSM 13514. RNAcentral describes it as "PARsR47". Lineage: Archaea; Thermoproteati; Thermoproteota; Thermoprotei; Thermoproteales; Thermoproteaceae. The record is from RNAcentral.
GUGAUGCAGAGGUUUCCGGAGCGAGCGGAUGAGCGGGGCCGUGUAUCUGA